GUUUUAGAAUCAUAGGUAGUUUAGGCUGGAAGAAACUUCUGGAUGUCUUCUAGUCCAAGCCCUUUCUCCAAGCAGUUAUCAUUACAUCAGGUUGCUCAUCGUUGCAUCCAAUCAAGUUGAAACAUCCAAAGACAAAGAUUCCGCAACCUCUACUGAAUGCUGAUUGCUGCAAUGCGUUGGUAAGAAAGCAAUUCACAUGCAAAAUUAUUCCCCAUUUUUUUCUGGAUAAAAUUUGGAAUGUCCCACUUUUUAUCAGAGGCCUUUCCCAUUUUCUGGAUUGCAUAUGUCCUGUUCAGAUCUCAGGUCAGAAGAGCCAGGAAAGCUGUUGUGAUUACUUCUAUGGCAAAGCAGUGCUUCAAGAAACACAUCCCAGAGACAUAGUUGUCUGCCAGUACUUUGGUCUCAGCUAGUUACAGAAGAUAAGUUUUGGCCUGAACUACUGGUGGGAGCCUCUUCUUCCACCUUCCUGGGAGACCAGUGUUCUGCCAGCAGUGGGCUGAGGUAGUGAUGCUGAAUGCCAAGGCUGCUGCAGGCAAUGGGACCACUGCCUGUGCCCUGGCCUGGGGUGCACAGAGCAAGAUGUGAGAAACUACUGGACAUGGCACAAGAAACUGCUGGACCCAAAAGAUCACAGAGUGAGAAGCUGGCAGCUUUACAGAGAGUACUGUGAGGAAUUCACAGGUGGUUAAGGAGGAGUUAUGUGAGAAACAACCAAAAUUCACAAGAAAGCUGGAGCAUGAAGGUACUUAGGGACAGCAAGACAUUGGCCGAGAAUAAGGAUUCCAGUUCAGUGUAACCCUCUUCACAACCC
Molecule: long non-coding RNA, 811 nt
Organism: Neopsephotus bourkii (Bourke's parrot)
Lineage: Eukaryota; Metazoa; Chordata; Aves; Psittaciformes; Psittacidae
Exons: 4
Source: RefSeq, a predicted model, not a curated record